UGCAGUCGAACGGUAACAUUUCUAGCUUGCUAGAAGAUGACNGAGUGGCGGACGGGUGAGUAAUGCUUGGGAACUUGCCUUUAGGAGGGGGAUAACAGUUGGAAACGACUGCUAAUACCGCAUAAUGUCUACGGACCAAAGGGGGCUUCGGCUCUCACCUAAAGAGAGGCCCAAGUGAGAUUAGCUAGUUGGUAAGGUAAAAGCUUACCAAGGCGACGAUCUCUAGCUGUUCUGAGAGGAAGAUCAGCCACACUGGGACUGAGACACGGCCCAGACUCCUACGGGAGGCAGCAGUGGGGAAUAUUGCACAAUGGGGGAAACCCUGAUGCAGCCAUGCCGCGUGUGUGAAGAAGGCCUUCGGGUUGUAAAGCACUUUCAGUUGUGAGGAAAGGUUGGUAGUUAAUACCUGCCAGCUGUGACGUUAACAACAGAAGAAGCACCGGCUAACUCCGUGCCAGCAGCCGCGGUAAUACGGAGGGUGCGAGCGUUAAUCGGAAUUACUGGGCGUAAAGCGCACGCAGGCGGUUUGUUAAGCUAGAUGUGAAAGCCCCGGGCUCAACCUGGGAUGGUCAUUUAGAACUGGCAGACUAGAGUCUUGGAGAGGGGAGUGGAAUUCCAGGUGUAGCGGUGAAAUGCGUAGAUAUCUGGAGGAACAUCAGUGGCGAAGGCGGCUCCCUGGCCAAAGACUGACGCUCAUGUGCGAAAGUGUGGGUAGCGAACAGGAUUAGAUACCCUGGUAGUCCACACCGUAAACGCUGUCUACUAGCUGUUUGUGAAUUUAAUUCGUGAGUAGCGAAGCUAACGCGAUAAGUAGACCGCCUGGGGAGUACGGCCGCAAGGUUAAAACUCAAAUGAAUUGACGGGGGCCCGCACAAGCGGUGGAGCAUGUGGUUUAAUUCGAUGCAACGCGAAGAACCUUACCUACACUUGACAUGCAGAGAACUUUCCAGAGAUGGAUUGGUGCCUUCGGGA
RNAcentral lists this ribosomal RNA (972 nucleotides) under Alteromonas sp. RNAcentral's name for it is "bacterial SSU rRNA". It matches the Rfam family "Bacterial small subunit ribosomal RNA", at positions 56 to 1025 of the family's 1533-position model. The record is from RNAcentral. Lineage: Bacteria; Pseudomonadati; Pseudomonadota; Gammaproteobacteria; Alteromonadales; Alteromonadaceae.